ACUCAAGAAAAGGAUUUUAGUCCAACCUAAAGCUUUAACUUAUUUGCAAAAAUUUUCCUCAGGCUUUAGAGCAAUUCAAAUAAGGUACAGCCUAUUUGAAACAGGAUACAACCUCAAUUGAUGGGUAAUAAACCUUCUUGCUCAACUAAGUAGGCCUAAAAGCAGCCACCUUUAAAAAAGCGUCAAAGCUUGAUUGAAAAAUCAAAUUAAUUCCUCUAAUCUCUUCUAACCCUCUCUUUAUAUUGAGUAAUUCUAUAUCCCUAUAGAACAUAUUAUGUUAAAACUAGUAACAAGAAGCUAAACCUUCUCUUAAGUGUAUGUGUACACCAGAUAGGAUAAACCACUGGUAAUUAACGUCCAUGAAACCCCAUUAGUAACUUUUCCCAAGAAAACCCUAAUUACCUUCCACGUUAACCUGACACAAGAACACCACAAGAAAGAUUAAAAGAAAAAGAAGGAACUCGGCAAAUUUUAACCCCGCCUGUUUACCAAAAACAUCGCCUCUUGAGUAAAAAUAAGAGGUCUAGCCUGCCCAGUGACCACAGUUCAACGGCCGCGGUAUCCUAACCGUGCGAAGGUAGCGUAAUCACUUGUUCUUUAAAUGAGGACUAGUAUGAAUGGCAUCACGAGGGUUAUACUGUCUCCUUUUUCCAAUCAGUGAAACUAUUCUCCCCGUGAAGAAACGGGGAUACUUUUAUAAGACGAGAAGACCCUAUGGAGCUUUAAAUUUUAUUCCAAUUGCUUACUUAUACAGCCUGUACCAACUUCUUACACUCAACUAAGCAUAAUGCUAAUAAAUUUUAGGUUGGGGUGACCGCGGAGCAUAAAAAAACCUCCGCACAGAGCAAGCCUUAAGCCUUGAACAAAGAGCUACAACUCCAAGUACUAACACAUUAACAUCCAUUGACCCAAUACCCUUGAUCAACGAACCAAGUUACCCUAGGGAUAACAGCGCAAUCUACUUUAAGAGCCCCUAUCGACAAGUAGGUUUACGACCUCGAUGUUGGAUCAGGGUAUCCCAGUGGUGCAGCCGCUACUAAAGGUUCGUUUGUUCAACGAUUAAAACCCU
RNAcentral lists this ribosomal RNA (1069 nucleotides) under Scinax berthae (dwarf snouted treefrog). Its description in RNAcentral is "partial 16S large subunit ribosomal RNA". It matches the Rfam family "Bacterial large subunit ribosomal RNA", at positions 855 to 2597 of the family's 2925-position model. Lineage: Eukaryota; Metazoa; Chordata; Amphibia; Anura; Hylidae. The record is from RNAcentral.